GGGAGUUGGACUUUCGCAUUGGAGAAGUCUGACGGAGCAACGCCGCGUGAGUGAUGAAGGUUUUCGGAUCGUAAAGCACUGUUGUUAGGGAAGAACAAGUGCAAGAGUAACUGCUUGCACCUUGACGGUACCUAACCAGAAAGCCACGGCUAACUACGUGCCAGCAGCCGCGGUAAUACGUAGGUGGCAAGCGUUGUCCGGAAUUAUUGGGCGUAAAGGGCUCGCAGGCGGUUUCUUAAGUCUGAUGUGAAAGCCCCCGGCUCAACCGGGGAGGGUCAUUGGAAACUGGGAAACUUGAGUGCAGAAGAGGAGAGUGGAAUUCCACGUGUAGCGGUGAAAUGCGUAGAGAUGUGGAGGAACACCAGUGGCGAAGGCGACUCUCUGGUCUGUAACUGACGCUGAGGAGCGAAAGCGUGGGGAGCGAACAGGAUUAGAUACCCUGGUAGUCCACGCCGUAAACGAUGAGUGCUAAGUGUUAGGGGGUUUCCGCCCCUUAGUGCUGCAGCUAACGCAUUAAGCACUCCGCCUGGGGAGUACGGUCGCAAGACUGAAACUCAAAGGAAUUGACGGGGGCCCGCACAAGCGGUGGAGCAUGUGGUUUAAUUCGAAGCAACGCGAAGAACCUUACCAGGUCUUGACAUCCUCUGACAACCCUAGAGAUAGGGCUUUCCCUUCGGGGACAGAGUGACAGGUGGUGCAUGGUUGUCGUCAGCUCGUGUCGUGAGAUGUUGGGUUAAGUCCCGCAACGAGCGCAACCCUUGAUCUUAGUUGCCAGCAUUCAGUUGGGCACUCUAAGGUGACUGCCGGUGACAAACCGGAGGAAGGUGGGGAUGACGUCAAAUCAUCAUGCCCCUUAUGACCUGGGCUACACACGUGCUACAAUGGACAGAACAAAGGGCUGCGAGACCGCAAGGUUUAGCCCAAUCCCACAAAUCUGUUCUCAGUUCGGAUCGCAGUCUGCAACUCGACUGCGUGA
Molecule: ribosomal RNA, 976 nt
Filed under: Bacillus sp. JZDN9
Lineage: Bacteria; Bacillati; Bacillota; Bacilli; Caryophanales; Bacillaceae
Description: bacterial SSU rRNA
Rfam family: Bacterial small subunit ribosomal RNA
Source: RNAcentral